Puntigrus tetrazona (Sumatra barb) is the source of this 1253-nucleotide long non-coding RNA. RefSeq lists it as uncharacterized. NCBI's taxonomy places the organism in Eukaryota, Metazoa, Chordata, Actinopteri, Cypriniformes, Cyprinidae. The record is from RefSeq and is a predicted model, not a curated record. The transcript is spliced from 3 exons.
CCUAUCGAGAUAUUCCUGAUUUCAGUGCAGCUGCAGUUCAGAAUAGCGUGCCAUCCUUUUUCAGUCAGUCGCAGCGCUCUCAGAUGACCAUGAAGGAGAGUCUUUCAUAUCACUUUGCAAUGUGAUUAGUGGGAGAGUGUGAAAUAUCACACACUUAUCCACAUCCUCCAGCCGACAUGGAAAUUUCAAGGUGUCUGUUUUUUUGGUUCUGCUUUAGAGGGCUGACGAUAUCAUUAAUAUCAAAAAGCCGAAACCCCUGUUCUUUUCUUCUCGGUCCUUCAUUCAGAUGAUGCUGGGUACUUUUUGUGAGUCCCCGAGGAGGUAAAUGGACACUGAAAAGAAAAGGAGAGCCAAUUAAUGCAGACCAGAGCUGUUAGUCCACAUCCUGAGAAGUCCCUUCAGACGCUCCAUUUGUACAGCACAGCAGCUGUAAAAUCUCUGGGUAAAGCAAUUGAACGUGGAUGGUGAGGGAUGCCUAGGAAGAAGAGGAGUGCUUGCCAGGUCAUGGAUGGAUCCAUCAAAUGGUCAGUGACCGGACUGGGUGGUCCGGGGUGGGACGUCUGAGACCAAGACUAAGAAGAUGCAGAACCGGUCAUGUAUAUUGGUGUAAGAGACUUGUAGACUUAAAGGAAAAGUGAAGAACAGCCAAGGUAUUCAAUCAUUCAUUUGACCAGAGCCACAUGAUCUGUGCCUUUCAUUACAGCACUGAUGAGGAAUAAAGGAAAUAAAAACAGUUUUAUAGACACCCACGCCAAUCCAAAUAAGCUUUCAUCUCAUGCUCACUAACAACUCUCUCUGUGUGCUUUCUGAUCUGGAUUAUAUUCUCUCUCUCGGUCUCUCUUCAACAGUUAUUGCCAUUGUAGUUUUCCAUUUUCCGAGUGUUUCUUUUCACAUUCACAUUUUUAACGUGUUCCAAGUGACAAGCCAAGGAAGUAGCCAAGAGCGUUACGGUUGAGUUAUUGGCCCUAAAAACAAAUACACGUCAGCUGAUUCACAGCAAUAGCGCAAGCUGCCCAAAGAACACCCAUCCACUUUAUGGGCGUUCUUCAGUCCAGGGAAUGGCUUUAUGUGUACUGUAGUGAAAAGCACAGAUUUUCUUUGAACCUCCAGUGGGUUAGACGCCACAGAUAUCGGUGCUGCAUCUGUCAGGUCUAGCUGAAUUUGUUAAACUCACCGAUAUUGCAAUUUUGUGUUUUUGUUUUUCUGAGCAAAAAUAAAUAUCAUACAUUUUUUUCCCUAAUUUACUAAAUUUA